UCUUUUAACCAUUAUUUCAAAUUCAAAGAAUCCUGUUUGAAACAUUUAUUAAACUUAUAGAAUUAAAUUUCUGCUAGUUGUUUUUUGUUGCAAAAAAAUCUAGUUUAAUAAUAUUUAAAUUUACAUAUAUUUUUCACGUUUUCAAUGCCAAUUUUGUGUAAUGGCAAAGUUUCCCACUACCCGUGAAUGCCUCUUUUGUACGUCUCUGGCUGACUCCUGAAUCUCCGCCCACUCUCUGCUUGAUCCCUGCCGAGUGAAAGAGAUCUUUGGUUUUGCCUUUGCUGACUGCUGAUCUGAUCGUCUCAAGUCUGGUGAGUAAAGGUUUGUCUGAGGUGCAGUGCUGGGAAAUGUUUCUCAUUAUAGGAGAUUCAGUGUAGUGCUGUGAGUCAGCACAGCUAUUGUGAUCAUCAAAAGUCAUCAAAUCCUAAAAAAGUCUGUGUAAACCUUUCCAGACCUACAGAGGUCGGUAGGUUAUUGUAGCAGCGCAUAUU
This 491-nucleotide long non-coding RNA is filed under the name Oreochromis niloticus (Nile tilapia). Its description in RNAcentral is "lncRNA (ENSONIG00000027972.1)". Lineage: Eukaryota; Metazoa; Chordata; Actinopteri; Cichliformes; Cichlidae. The record is from RNAcentral.